AGAGUUUGAUCCUGGCUCAGGAUGAACGCUAGCUACAGGCUUAACACAUGCAAGUCGAGGGGCAGCAUGGUCUUAGCUUGCUAAGGCCGAUGGCGACCGGCGCACGGGUGAGUAACACGUAUCCAACCUGCCGUCUACUCUUGGACAGCCUUCUGAAAGGAAGAUUAAUACAAGAUGGCAUCAUGAGUCCGCAUGUUCACAUGAUUAAAGGUAUUCCGGUAGACGAUGGGGAUGCGUUCCAUUAGAUAGUAGGCGGGGUAACGGCCCACCUAGUCUUCGAUGGAUAGGGGUUCUGAGAGGAAGGUCCCCCACAUUGGAACUGAGACACGGUCCAAACUCCUACGGGAGGCAGCAGUGAGGAAUAUUGGUCAAUGGGCGAGAGCCUGAACCAGCCAAGUAGCGUGAAGGAUGACUGCCCUAUGGGUUGUAAACUUCUUUUAUAAAGGAAUAAAGUCGGGUAUGCAUACCCGUUUGCAUGUACUUUAUGAAUAAGGAUCGGCUAACUCCGUGCCAGCAGCCGCGGUAAUACGGAGGAUCCGAGCGUUAUCCGGAUUUAUUGGGUUUAAAGGGAGCGUAGAUGGAUGUUUAAGUCAGUUGUGAAAGUUUGCGGCUCAACCGUAAAAUUGCAGUUGAUACUGGAUAUCUUGAGUGCAGUUGAGGCAGGCGGAAUUCGUGGUGUAGCGGUGAAAUGCUUAGAUAUCACGAAGAACUCCGAUUGCGAAGGCAGCCUGCUAAGCUGCAACUGACAUUGAGGCUCGAAAGUGUGGGUAUCAAACAGGAUUAGAUACCCUGGUAGUCCACACGGUAAACGAUGAAUACUCGCUGUUUGCGAUAUACGGCAAGCGGCCAAGCGAAAGCGUUAAGUAUUCCACCUGGGGAGUACGCCGGCAACGGUGAAACUCAAAGGAAUUGACGGGGCCCGCACAAGCGGAGGAACAUGUGGUUUAAUUCGAUGAUACGCGAGGAACCUUACCCGGGCUUAAAUUGCAGAUGAAUUACGGUGAAAGCCGUAAGCCGCAAGGCAUCUGUGAAGGUGCUGCAUGGUUGUCGUCAGCUCGUGCCGUGAGGUGUCGGCUUAAGUGCCAUAACGAGCGCAACCCUUGUUGUCAGUUACUAACAGGUUCUGCUGAGGACUCUGACAAGACUGCCAUCGUAAGAUGUGAGGAAGGUGGGGAUGACGUCAAAUCAGCACGGCCCUUACGUCCGGGGCUACACACGUGUUACAAUGGGGGGUACAGAGGGCCGCUACCACGCGAGUGGAUGCCAAUCCCCAAAACCUCUCUCAGUUCGGACUGGAGUCUGCAACCCGACUCCACGAAGCUGGAUUCGCUAGUAAUCGCGCAUCAGCCACGGCGCGGUGAAUACGAACCCGGGCCUUGCACACACCGCCCGUCAAG
RNAcentral lists this ribosomal RNA (1397 nucleotides) under uncultured bacterium. Its description in RNAcentral is "bacterial SSU rRNA". It matches the Rfam family "Bacterial small subunit ribosomal RNA". The record is from RNAcentral.